AUUGAACGCUGGCGGCAUGCCUUACACAUGCAAGUCGAACGGCAGCAUGGAAGAGCUUGCUCUUCUGAUGGCGUGUGGCGAACGGGUGAGUAAAGCAUCGGAACGUACCGUGUAGUGGGGGAUAACGUAGCGAAAGUUACGCUAAUACCGCAUACGCACUGAGGUGGAAAGCAGGGGAUCGCAAGACCUUGCGCUAUACGAGCGGCCGAUGUCAGAUUAGCUAGUUGGUAGGGUAAAGGCCUACCAAGGCGACGAUCUGUAGCGGGUCUGAGAGGAUGAUCCGCCACACUGGGACUGAGACACGGCCCAGACUCCUACGGGAGGCAGCAGUGGGGAAUUUUGGACAAUGGGGGAAACCCUGAUCCAGCCAUGCCGCGUGAGUGAAGAAGGCCUUCGGGUUGUAAAGCUCUUUCGGCUGGGAAGAAAUCGCACAGGCUAAUACUCUGUGUGGAUGACGGUACCAGCAUAAGAAGCACCGGCUAACUACGUGCCAGCAGCCGCGGAAA
Molecule: ribosomal RNA, 506 nt
Filed under: uncultured bacterium
Lineage: Bacteria
Description: partial 16S ribosomal RNA
Rfam family: Bacterial small subunit ribosomal RNA
Source: RNAcentral